This 1441-nucleotide long non-coding RNA is filed under the name Cyanistes caeruleus (blue tit). RNAcentral describes it as "lncRNA (ENSCCEG00000006674.1)". The record is from RNAcentral. Lineage: Eukaryota; Metazoa; Chordata; Aves; Passeriformes; Paridae.
GAUAAUAUUUUGGUAUUUUAUCUUCAUUUGCAGGAAUAUCAAUUAGACUGUGUCAUGACUGCACUCUUGCACAUACAUUCAUACCUUUCUGUUACUACAGUGGGAUUCUUCUCAAUACUACCAAAAGUUCAGGUUCCAGCCUCAGCUCAUCAUACCCUACCUCUGUGGUGCUCAGUGAGACGAAGCACUGAUACCUACCUUUGACUAGGGGACUGUGUUCCAGAUGACUGAAGUCAGGUGAAGUAAAACCCAUUUGAAUGUGACAAAGGUACAUGUAAGCACUGAAUGAGAACAGACAGCCAGAGACAGCAAACCAACAUGUACUCAGCAUCCUAGUAACAAAUAAUAAUUGAACAUGAACAUUCCUAAUCUUAAAGUAGGAACCUGACAUCAGUUCCUGGCUGAAUUCUUACCUGGCUUUUUGCUUUUUUUUUUUUUUUUCCUUUAGAAUAGCACAGUAAAUAUAGCUUUUUGAGGAUGCUUUGUCACCAUGUACUAUUGCCUUUUUAUUAUCCCUGGCCAGAGUAAUCAAAUUAGGACACUUAAUACUAAUGCUUUGUAUAAUCAUAGAUAUCCUUGUGUAGACUGUGGAUCAGUAAAAGCCUUUACUUCAUAUAGUAUGGCAGUUUCAUAGACAUUUUUAGAUAAGGGAAUCUGUGUCAUUUUAUCAUGCUCCCUGUUCUGAAGGAAAUGGCUGACGUAUGUAAUGCAGACAGGAAUGUUAUUCUAUCUAAACUUUAAAACCAAGUAAUCUGAAAAACAGGAAUGUUAUUCUAUCUAAACUUUAAAACCAAGUAAUCUGAAAAACCAUUCACUGUAAAGACUUAAUGUUUUUGAAAACCCUGUUGUUUUGGUCCUAGAGAAUCUGCUAUGAAGAUGCAUUGUAUAUAUCUUUACAACUGACAUGAAGGAACACUUAUUUUUUUGUUCCUGAGUUCUAAGGUUUUUAUUUUUUUCUUUUGAGGUACUAAAUAAUCCCCAGAAAAAGAUUCUUUGGGAUUUCCUGGAUACCACACAGCACAGACUUCUAGCCCUGCAGCUGGACCAAUAGUCUCUCUUAUCAUUUAAAAGAUGCAUCAGAUUUGAUCCCAGAUAAUUUAAAUGAAGACAGGUAGAAUCCUAAACCAAACACAUAAUAUUUAAUACUUCUGUAGGUCUCACAAGUUUUUCUCUCAGUGAAUUAAAAACUCAUCACCGUAAUUUUUUUAAGACUAGUCAAGUAGGGUUUUUAAUGAUUUGGAAUCUUUUAAAAGAUACUUUAAAGUGCUGUGUCUCAUCUUCAAAAUGGUUUAAAAUUCAUCAAGUUGGAAUGAUUUUUUUUAGAUAAGAGCUGAAGUUUCUCUGACUUUCCUGCAGUGCUUGAUGUUACUCAUAUCCAAAUGGCAACAAUGUGUAGAGAAAUGUGAUAAUAAAAUCCAUUGAGUAAGGAGGUGUUAAUACA